UACGUAGGGAGCGAGCGUUGUCCGGAAUUACUGGGCGUAAAGGGCGCGUAGGCGGACUGUCAAGUCAGCGGUAAAAUUGAGAGGCUCAACCUCUUCCCGCCGUUGAAACUGGUGGUCUUGAGUGGAUGAGAAGUACGCGGAAUGCGUGGUGUAGCGGUGAAAUGCAUAGAUAUCACGCAGAACUCCGAUUGCGAAGGCAGCGUACCGGCAUCCAACUGACGCUGAGGCACGAAAGCGUGGGGAUCAAACAGG
RNAcentral lists this ribosomal RNA (252 nucleotides) under uncultured bacterium. RNAcentral's name for it is "partial 16S ribosomal RNA". It matches the Rfam family "Bacterial small subunit ribosomal RNA", at positions 524 to 776 of the family's 1533-position model. The record is from RNAcentral.